This is a long non-coding RNA of Chenopodium quinoa (quinoa), 4466 nucleotides long. RefSeq lists it as uncharacterized. NCBI's taxonomy places the organism in Eukaryota, Viridiplantae, Streptophyta, Magnoliopsida, Caryophyllales, Amaranthaceae. The record is from RefSeq and is a predicted model, not a curated record. The transcript has 5 exons.
UAUUUUAUAAAUCCAAAUCGGUCACCAACCUACAAUAGUAGGUUACCUUGCCACGUGUCACAUUUUGAUUUGCCUAAUUUAUUUAUUUUUUUCAUUUUUUUUAAAAAAACUUUAUUUUUUUUUUCAGUUCCCCUUCCCCUUCCCCUUCCUUCAUCCACUCAAGCUUAGAGCAGCCAGCCUCCCCAAACUCACUACCAAAUCGAAGACUCACCAUCGGCACCCACCACCAGAUCGAAGUCCCACCACCGGCAGCACCAUCACAAACCCAGGAACACGACACCUAGAAACACUAUGGGUGAAAGUGAAUCGGUGUAAAACCGAACCGAACCGAAAAACCGAACCGUAUAAGGAAUGUGGUUCGGUUUUUUGGGAGGGUGGUUCGGUUUCGGUGUCAAAAAUAAAAAAAUUUCGGUUUUCGGUUCGGGAAAUUGAAAAACCGAACAAAACCGAAUUAUAAGCCCAAUCCUACAAAACCCCUGCCUGGCCCAAAAUUAAAUACCCUAGGUAUAUAAUGAAAAAUAAAAAAAACCCUAAUUCCUCUAAUCCUCUCAGCCUUUCUCCACUCUUUCGUCCCCUCUCCUGUCUCCUCUGAGUCUCUGACCACCGUCCAGUACACCAGGGCACCAGGCGACCAUCGUCCACGGUCCACCUGCUUCUCUCUCUCCUGUCUUCUCCUACUAAUUAAGGCCAAUGGCAACCAAUGUGGGUGUCAAUGACCACCCUGAACUCGAACCUGAGACUGACCAAUCUGACUGUAACAAAAAAGAAGGUGUAAAAAGGAAGAGGAUGAAAGAGCGGUCUGAAGUUUGGGAGCAUUUUGUGAAAGAAGACUUACCUUCUGGAAGGCAGGCAACUUGCAAGUAUUGUGGGAUGAGCUAAAAGUGCGGGGCAAAGAAAAACGGCACUAGUGUGUUAUGGGCUCAUAUUAACCGUUGUCGUAAGUAUCCCUAUAGCACCCCUAAAGAUUCAAAACAAAGUUUGCUUUCAUUCAAAAGUGCUAAAGUAACAAGUGCUGCUCGUGGUACUAGUGGGUUGACAUACCACAAAUUUGAUGCUGGUAGUAUUAGAAAAGCUUUGUCGUAUAUGGUAAUUGUUGAUGAACUUCCAUUUAAGUUUGUUGAAGGUGUAGGUUUUAGACACUUUUGUGGUGUAAUGGAACCUAGAUUUAAUGUUCCUUCUCGAAUUACAGUAGCAAAAGAUUGUUUUGAAACUUAUUUAACUGAGAAAAGAAAGCUGAAAAAUCAAUUAAAGAAAUGUAAUUCAAGAGUUUCUUUAACCACUGAUACUUGGACCUCUAUACAACAAAUCAAUUACAUGUGCUUGACUGUCCACUUCAUUGAUAAUGACUGGAAAUUACACAAAAGAAUUCUGAAUUUUUGUCCUAUUUCUAGUCAUAAGGGUGAUGAUAUUGGCAAAGAAAUUGAAAAAUGUUUGCUUGAUUGGGGGCUUGAAAAAGUCAUGUGUAUAACUGUUGAUAAUGCUAGCUCAAAUGAUACUGCAAUUGGGUAUUUGAGAAGGAAAAUGAAUGCUAGCUCAAAUGCUUGUUGUGUUAGUGAGAAUAGUGACUUAGUGUGUUGAUUAAUGAGGCCUAAUUUGCAGAUUAUUGGCCCAAAUAAAGGAGGCCCUAAAAAAUCGGUUUGGUUCGAUUUUUUAUUCUGAAACCGAAAUAAAUAUGGUUUGGUUUGGUUCGGUUUCUAAAGUAAAGUGGUGCGGUGUGAUUUCUAAAAUCAAGAAACCGAAUUAAGGUGGUUCGGUUUUGGUUUGGGCCAAAAACCAAAACGAACACCGAACUUUCACCCCUAAGAAACACCCUCCAACCUUCCUGACCCUCGAACCCAAAAAACCCCACCACCAUCACGUAAAACCAGAAUAAAAACCCAUCCAUCCUCCCCCAAAGCCUUGCUCAAAACCAUCAAAAACCCCUACCCCACCGCCAAUUUUUGUGUUUCGGGGUGUUUGGAGUGGUUUUCGUAGCAUAUCUUGUGGGUGUCCGGACGAAUUUUUCCCAAAACCAUCGAAAACCCGACCUUCUUCCCUCUUCUUUCUCUCUCUGUUUCAAUUUCCAUCAAUUUGCAGGAAAUCUUUGAUCUUCAAAACCCUAGAAUUUACCCUCAAUUUGAUUAGAGUUUUGCAAGAUCAAGAAUAGAGCUGCCUUAAAUAUUCAAUAUUUUUAUCAAAAAUAAUCGAUCCUAGGGGACUUGAUUUGGAAUUUUGGGUUGGUUAUUGUGGGAAAGAAGAAUUUUGGGUUAUAUCGGGAAUUAUUAUGGAGGUAAUCAAUUGAAUGGAGGAUGAUUGAUGGUUAGGCGGAGUUGGUGGUUGAGUUGCGCUUCUGCAGUGACUGUGGGAGGUGAUGUUGUGAGAUGCACCAGGGGCAAGGUGGCCGAUUUCUGUAGAUGGGUGGCGUCAUGGCGAUGGUGGAGCUGAGGAGCUACGUUGGUGUGUAUUGUUUGAAGUUGUAGUUGAUGCAGGUGGGUUUUCCGGCGACUUCCGGCGGCGGUGGAAGGCAGGGGUAGAGGUUAUUUCCCAGCGAGUGAGGGAGGGGGUAGGGUGUUUUUCGGGGAAGGGGUGGGGGAAGGGGUGGGGGCUGGUGUUGGGGUGUUUUUUUUUUUUACUUUUUUAUUUUUAAAAUUUAAUUUUUGUUAAAAAAUUGUAAAAGAAAAUAAUGUUUAAAAAAUUGCCUAAAGAGAAGGUAAUCUGUCAUAUUGGCAUGAUAAAAAAGAAUAACCCCUAAAGCUUGGAUUAUUCAGGAAUAAUCUAAAGGUUGGAUUAUUAAAAAUAAAUACGUCAAAAGUUGAAUUAUUUAAAUCAAAUUUUCAAGUGACAUAAAUCGGCUUCAUCUACCAUCCCACAUUGGAAACCUUCGUAGCCUUCAGACCCUCCCUCUGUUCAUUGUGGGUGAUAGUCUUAAAGGAUAUUGUAUUUCAGAGUUGAAGAAUAUGAAUUGUCUUAAAGGGUCAAUUUGCAUCCAACAUCUUGACUAUGUCCAAAAUCGAGCCAUGGCAAAGGAGGCCAUGUUUAGCAACAAGUUGUUGCUAGAAAAAAUAGUAUUGCAAUGGAUGAGAUUGGUGGAUGCAACUAUUGCCGAUGAUGUACUCGAUGGCCUAGAACCUCAUGUUUGUUUGAGAGAGUUGCAUAUAAUAAAAUACAUUGGCAAGUUGUUUCCGGAAUGGAUUUGUGAUCCAUCGCGAAGCCUUCAAAAGAGGGAAAUUCCCUGUUUCUCAUGGUGAGAUACGAAAUUUGUUUCUCAUGGGGGCAUUUUCGUGAAUAAAUCAACAACUUUUUCAUUAUUGUGGGUUCCACAGUUGAAUAAAGUUGUUGGUUUAUUUACGAAAAUGCCAUGUGAGAAUCACCAUGAGAAACUGGGACAUCCUCUUCAAAAGAUACACUUGAUGAAAUGUCCAUCAUGUGAGAUCUUGCCAGCACUUGGUGAGCUUCAAACUCUUAAGACUCUUGUCAUUGAAGAAUUUUCCAGUGUAACAGCUGUGGAUCGCUGCUUUUGUGGAACAUCCAGUGUUACUACGGACGUCUAUUUUCCAUCAUUGGAAUCACUGACAUUCAAGAAGUUGGUAAAACUUCAGAAUUGGACAGGAUUGGAAGUAAAUGACAUGCCUCGCCUUCGAAUUCUCAAAAUUGAGAAUUGUCCUGAGUUCAUCAACUUGCCUUCACUCAAGAAUCUUACUUCAUUAGUUGAAUUAAAGAUUGAACGUUGUCCAACAAUGAUAUCAUUGCCAGAGCUACCUCCUUCUCUCGAGUCACUCAAGAUAAGAGAGAGUAAUUUACUCAAAGAUCGAUGUGCUAUUGAAUGUGAAGAUUGGAAGAAGGUAGAUUGUAUUCCAUAUGUAGAGAUUGAUGACACAAGGAUCCCAACAUCGGGUGCCAAUAAUGUCCCAACACUGCCUACUCGGCCACAUCAAAACAUUGUUUACCAGGGAUAUCAACUUGUCAAGGACAACAUUGGAGCAUUUAGCCGACUCAUUUUGAGGGAUUAGCACACAGGGGAAGCAGAGUAUAUACACAAAAAGCAGUCUCAGGCCAUAUAGCAUGUCUUUGUUCGUUGUCAAAACUUUCCAAGUCAACCGAGCCUCCCUUUUACAAAUAUAGCUGAAGCUCCUAAGGCAUUGGACAGAAGAGCCAUACAUUGGACAUUGGCUAAAUAUGUGCAUUAUUUCUUUGAUUUGGGGAAACUUUGCAGCAAUUGAAUAAGUAUUCUGGUGGACAUACUAUAUAAAUUUAUCUUAUGUUGGAGUUUCACUGCGUAUUUAGUUAUGUUGUUGUAACAAAUAUUGUUAGGGUGCAUGAUAUUGUCCUUCCUAGAAGGUAAUCCUCAUGACAUUCUUUUGCUAGAGUAAGACAUACACUCGUAUUAUUUCCUAAAAUUUCUGCUCAUUGUUACUAGAGCGCCUAAACAAGUUCACUGGAGUUGUUGCAAUUAAAUAAUACUUUAUCUAAUUAAGACCAAUUAUUCA